AUUAAAUUCUCCCGGCUAUUGGAAUGAAUCCGAAGCCUGUACGUGGAUAAUAUAGGCUGUCCAUUUUCGAAUUAGCAUGUACCUCCAAAUGUCUGAGCUUCAGUAUACGGAAAACCUAAUAUUUUGUUGGGGGAAGAUGGCUGGAUUGAUGUGG
This 154-nucleotide ribozyme is filed under the name Anopheles stephensi (Asian malaria mosquito). RNAcentral's name for it is "drz-agam-2-2 ribozyme". It matches the Rfam family "drz-agam-2-2 ribozyme". Lineage: Eukaryota; Metazoa; Arthropoda; Insecta; Diptera; Culicidae. The record is from Rfam by way of RNAcentral.